This 590-nucleotide long non-coding RNA is filed under the name Fukomys damarensis (Damara mole-rat). Its description in RNAcentral is "lncRNA (ENSFDAG00000028755.1)". The record is from RNAcentral. Lineage: Eukaryota; Metazoa; Chordata; Mammalia; Rodentia; Bathyergidae.
AUGGUCAGUAAUGAAAGUUGCAGCCCGGUGGGCCAUUGAGAAAGACGGAGUGCCCAGUGACCAUUAUCCUUGCAAGGAUAGAGAAUGAGCAAAACAGCCAUAGAGUUGGAAGUUACUCCAAUCACUUAAAUUACUUACUGCCUUGAGAGUCUUUUAAAUGGAGGGAGAAGGCUGGGAGGGAGGAGACAGGGAAGUGAGAAGAGGUGUUGCAUUCAUGCACCCACGCCCCGCGAGGAAGGCAGUCAUGUACACGCACACACUCGCUAAUAAAACACAAGCCCGUUUAAAGAGGAAAUACCUCAUAAUGGAAAGAAAGAAGAUCCCCCGCAGGGUGGGGAUGGGCAGCACAGUGCAGCUCUCUGGGAUUCAGAAUCCAGCUGCUGGAAAACAACAACUUACUGAAGCAAAGAAUAGAAGCAGAGCACCAGGAACUGGAGAGGAACUGACAGAAAAAAUUAGAAGCUACAGAGAAGCUGGAAAGACACCCCAAGGAAGUGACCUGAUUCUCCCCUCAGAGCUUGUGUUGGGGGGAACCAGCCCGCCCCAAACAAGGCGCUGUUUAGGGAAGGGGUUGAUUAUUUAAGCCCGGG